UGGGGUGUAGCCAAGCGGUAAGGCAACUGGCUGUUAACCAGUUUAUGCGGAGGUUCGAAUCCUUCCACCCCAG
Molecule: transfer RNA, 73 nt
Filed under: candidate division Zixibacteria bacterium RBG-1
Lineage: Bacteria; Pseudomonadati; Candidatus Zixiibacteriota
Rfam family: tRNA
About the family: Transfer RNA (tRNA) molecules are approximately 80 nucleotides in length. Their secondary structure includes four short double-helical elements and three loops (D, anti-codon, and T loops). Further hydrogen bonds mediate the characteristic L-shaped molecular structure. tRNAs have two regions of fundamental functional importance: the anti-codon, which is responsible for specific mRNA codon recognition, and the 3' end, to which the tRNAs corresponding amino acid is attached (by aminoacyl-tRNA synthetases). tRNAs cope with the degeneracy of the genetic code in two manners: having more than one tRNA (with a specific anti-codon) for a particular amino acid; and 'wobble' base-pairing, i.e. permitting non-standard base-pairing at the 3rd anti-codon position.
Source: Rfam by way of RNAcentral